This 120-nucleotide ribosomal RNA is filed under the name Castor canadensis (American beaver). The record is from RNAcentral. Lineage: Eukaryota; Metazoa; Chordata; Mammalia; Rodentia; Castoridae.
UUGGACCAUACCACCCUGAACGCACCCAGUCUUGUCUGGUCUUGGAAGCUAAGCAGGGUUGAGCCUUGUUAGUACUUGGAUGGGAGACAGAUCUUCAGAAGACACUGCUCAGAGACAAAC